RNAcentral lists this ribosomal RNA (335 nucleotides) under Enterococcus faecium. RNAcentral's name for it is "partial 23S ribosomal RNA". It matches the Rfam family "Bacterial large subunit ribosomal RNA", at positions 1 to 373 of the family's 2925-position model. Lineage: Bacteria; Bacillati; Bacillota; Bacilli; Lactobacillales; Enterococcaceae. The record is from RNAcentral.
GUUGUAUAGUCAAGUAAUUAAGUGCAUGUGGUGGAUGCCUUGGCAGUCAGAGGCGAUGAAGGACGUGCUAACCUGCGAAAAGCUGUGAGAAGUCGGUAAGAGACGUUAGACUCACAGAUGUCCGAAUGGGGAAACCCACCAGAUUUAUCUGGUAUCGUAUGAUGAAUACAUAGUCAUACGAGGCGAACCGGGAGAACUGAAACAUCUAAGUACCCCGAGGAAAAGAAAUCAACCGAGAUUCCCUUAGUAGCGGCGAGCGAAAGGGGGCUAGCCCUUAAGUUGGUGAAGAAUUCGUGGAAGGCUCUGGAAAGUGCCGCGAUACAGGGUGAUAGCCC